RNAcentral lists this ribosomal RNA (253 nucleotides) under uncultured bacterium. RNAcentral describes it as "partial 16S ribosomal RNA". It matches the Rfam family "Bacterial small subunit ribosomal RNA", at positions 524 to 776 of the family's 1533-position model. The record is from RNAcentral.
UACGUAGGGUGCGAGCGUUAAUCGGAAUUACUGGGCGUAAAGUGUGCGCAGGCGGCAGAGCAAGUCGAGUGUGAAAGCCCCGGGCUUAACUUGGGAAUUGCGCUCGAAACUACUUUGCUGGAGUGUGGCAGAGGAAGGUGGAAUUCCACGUGUAGCAGUGAAAUGCGUAGAGAUGUGGAGGAACACCAAUGGCGAAGGCAGCCUUCUGGGCCAACACUGACGCUCAUGCACGAAAGCGUGGGGAGCAAACAGG